This 468-nucleotide ribosomal RNA is filed under the name uncultured bacterium. Its description in RNAcentral is "partial 16S ribosomal RNA". It matches the Rfam family "Bacterial small subunit ribosomal RNA", at positions 28 to 507 of the family's 1533-position model. The record is from RNAcentral.
GACGAACGCUGGCGGCGUGCUUAACACAUGCAAGUCGAACGGAAAGGCCCUGCUUUUGUGGGGUGCUCGAGUGGCGAACGGGUGAGUAACACGUGAGUAACCUGCCCUUGACUUUGGGAUAACUUCAGGAAACUGGGGCUAAUACCGGAUAGGAGCUCCUGCUGCAUGGUGGUGGUUGGAAAGUUUCGGCGGUUGGGGAUGGACUCGCGGCGUCUCAGCUUGGUGUUGGGGUAGUGGCUUACCAAGGCGUUGACGGGUAGCCGGCCUGAGCGGGUGACCGGCCACAUUGGGACUGAGAUACGGCCACGACUCCUACGGGAGGCAGCAGUGAGGAAUAUUGCACACUGGGCGGAAGCCAGAUGUCGCACCGCCGCGUGCGGGAUGACGGCCUUCGGGUUGUAGACGGCUUUCGCAUGUGACGAAGCGUGAGUGACGGUAAUGGGUAAAGACGCACCGGCCAACUACGUG